CGUGGAGUUGGUUAAGGAGAGUGGAGUGGUGUCCGUUGUCGCAAUUUGCCAGAGAGUGAUAGAGCCCAAAGAGUGGAGUGGGGUAAUGGCCAUUGUCAUGACUUGUCAGAAAGUUCAGACCUGUCGGCUGGAGCUCGGCUGGGAUAUCUGAUGGAGUGGAGUGGCUCUCUGUCCCAUCGAUCUAGGAGAAGCUCGGAUGUUUCUGAGGUUACUGAUGAGUCUAUUAUUGUCGGAUGCCUCAGGCGCCGAUGCUACAGGCGGGAGUCAUCUGCUGUAGAAGCUUGGAUGGAGACUUUUUGUUGGUGAAGUCUGGUAGGGGUCCGAUUGCUAGAGAAGUCCGUCUGGGAUUCGCCUGAUGUGGAAGCUCGUCUAAAGGUUAUCCAUCAGAGAAGUCCAGUUUCAUGAAAGAUCUGGUGGAGGGUCGGCCGAUAGUGAAAUUCAGAAGGUGUUGUAAAAGGUUGACCGAUAGAAGAGUCCGGAAGGCACUGUGGAAGUUCGUCUGUCGGAGGAGUCUGGAGGACACCGUGGAAGGUCGGCUACUUGAGGAGUCCGGAUGGAAUUUGUCCGUUGGAGGGGUCUGGUUGGAACUGUUGAAGUCCGGCUGCUGCUGGAGCCUGUCCGUUGUAGAAGUUCGCCUGGAAUCCAUCUAUUGUAGAAGUUUGGACGGAGUCUGGCUCUUGUAGAAGGCUGAAAGGAGACUGCUUAUUGUAGAAGCUCAGUCGAAGAUCGAUUGUCAUGGGAGCUCAGAGUAGCGACCUGGCCAGUGGAUCCUGUCCCCUUGUAGAAGCUCGUCUGAGAUCCGACUACGAAGAAGUUUGGCUGAAGUCUACCUGCAAUAGAAGUUCGGAAGAAAUUUGUUUACAGUAGGGGCUCGAAUGAAAUUUGCUUACAAUAGAUAUCCGGGGUAGACCGCCCGCUGUAGGAGUUCGAAGUAGAUCGCUUGUAGUAGAAGUUCGGAGUAGACCGCUCGUAGUAAAAGUUCAGAGUAGACCGCUCAUAGUAGACCGUUUGUAGUAGAAGUUUGGAGUAGGCCACUCAUAGUAGAAGUUCGGAGUAGAUCACUUGUAGUAGAAGUUCGGCUCUUACAGGAGCUCGGUUGGAAUUCUGAAGGCGGUCGACCGUCCUAGAAACUUGGAUGGAGUCUGAUUUCUGCAGAAGCCCUAUCGUUGGGAAAGCUCGAUUAUCGAUGAAGCCCGAAAGGAGUUUGGAGUAAAGUCGAUCAUGGCUGGGGGAAGUCUGGAAGAGAUUCGGAGAAUAGUUGGUUACUGUAGAAGAUCGGCUAAUAGUGAAGCCCGGAGAGUAUUUAGAGCGGCCCGGUAGAUGAAUGGAGAGACUCAUUAUCGGAGAAGUCUGGAUGGCAUUAUGGAAGCUCGGACGGUCGAGAGGGUUCAGAGAGACUCCUCACA
RNAcentral lists this long non-coding RNA (1406 nucleotides) under Elaeis guineensis (African oil palm). RNAcentral's name for it is "long non-coding RNA (EGUI_LNC029377)". The record is from RNAcentral. Lineage: Eukaryota; Viridiplantae; Streptophyta; Magnoliopsida; Arecales; Arecaceae.